AUUGAACGCUGGCGGUAGGCCUAACACAUGCAAGUCGAGCGGAUGAAGGGAGCUUGCUCCUGGAUUCAGCGGCGGACGGGUGAGUAAUGCCUAGGAAUCUGCCUGGUAGUGGGGGAUAACGUCCGGAAACGGGCGCUAAUACCGCAUACGUCCUGAGGUAGAAAGUGGGGGAUCUUCGGACCUCACGCUAUUAGCUGAGCCUAGGUCGGAUUAGCUAGUUGGUGGGGUAAAGGCCUACCAAGGCGACGAUCCGUAACUGGUCUGAGAGGAUGAUCAGUCACACUGGAACUGAGACACGGUCCAGACUCCUACGGGAGGGAGCAGUGGGGAAUAUUGGACAAUGGGCGAAAGCCUGAUCCAGCCAUGCCGCGUGUGUGAAGAAGGUCUUCGGAUUGUAAAGCACUUUAAGUUGGGAGGAAGGGCAGUAAGUUAAUACCUUGCUGUUUUGACGUUACCAACAGAAUAAGCACCGGCUAACUUCGUG
Molecule: ribosomal RNA, 484 nt
Filed under: uncultured bacterium
Lineage: Bacteria
Description: partial 16S ribosomal RNA
Rfam family: Bacterial small subunit ribosomal RNA
Source: RNAcentral